Molecule: ribosomal RNA, 407 nt
Filed under: uncultured bacterium
Lineage: Bacteria
Description: partial 16S ribosomal RNA
Rfam family: Bacterial small subunit ribosomal RNA
Source: RNAcentral
AUUGAACGCUGGCGGCAGGCCUAACACCUGCAAGUCGAGCGGAGCGGCGGACGGGUGAGUAAUGCCUAGGAAUCUGCCUGGUAGUGGGGGAUAACGUCCGGUAACGGGCGCUAAUACCGCAUACUAUCAGAUAAGCCUAGGUCGGAUUAGCUAGUUGUUGGGGUAAAGGCCUACCAAGGCGACGAUCCGUAACUGGUCUGAGAGGAUGAUCAGUCACACUGGGACUGAGACACGGUCCAGACUCCUACGGGAGGGAGAAGGGGGGAAUAUUGGACAAUGGGCGAAAGCCUGAUACAGCCAUGCCGCGUGUGUGAAGAAGGUCUUCGGAGUGUAAAGCACUUUAAGUUGGGAGGCGUUACCAACAGAAUAAGCACCGGCUAACUUCGUGCCAGCAGCCGCGGUAAUUC